Long non-coding RNA from Gekko japonicus, 244 nucleotides. RefSeq lists it as uncharacterized. The record is from RefSeq and is a predicted model, not a curated record. NCBI's taxonomy places the organism in Eukaryota, Metazoa, Chordata, Lepidosauria, Squamata, Gekkonidae. The transcript is spliced from 3 exons.
UGAAGGUUUUACUAGCGGUGGGAAAGGAGCCAUUUCCUACAAUCUACGUGGACUCAAGCAAAGAAAAUGAGAGAUGGGCUGUUAUUUCCAAGACUCAGCUCAAGAACGUGAGAAAACAGUGGCAGAGAGAGCUAUCGAAAACUGAAGCCCGAGAAAAGAAAGAGGCAGAAGAUGCGCUGCGACGUGAAAAAAACCUGGAGGAAGCAAAGAAAAUUGUCAUUGAGAACGAUCCCAGUCUCCCAGA